UCCUUUUAGUGGCGCAGCUAACGCGAUAAGUAGACCGCCUGGGGGAGUACGGUCGCAAGAUUAAAACUCAAAUGAAUUGACGGGGGCCCGCACAAGCGGUGGAGCAUGUGGUUUAAUUCGAAGCAACGCGAAGAACCUUACCUACUCUUGACAUCCAGUGAACUCUUGAGAGAUCAAUUGGUGCCUUCGGGAACACUGAGACAGGUGCUGCAUGGCUGUCGUCAGCUCGUGUUGUGAAAUGUUGGAUUAAGUCCCGUAACGAGCGCAACCCUUGUCCUUAGUUACCAUCAUUAAGUUGGGGACUCUAAGGAGACUGCCGGUGACAAACCGGAGGAAGGCGGGGACGACGUCAAGUCAUCAUGGCCCUUACGAGUAGGGCUACACACGUGCUACAAUGGCAUGUACAAAGGGU
This 412-nucleotide ribosomal RNA is filed under the name uncultured bacterium. RNAcentral describes it as "bacterial SSU rRNA". It matches the Rfam family "Bacterial small subunit ribosomal RNA", at positions 835 to 1247 of the family's 1533-position model. The record is from RNAcentral.